AUGGCCAUAUGACAUUGAAACACUAGUUCUUCUAUGAUCACUGAAGUUAAGCAAUGUUGAGCCUGGUCAGUACCAAGUUGGGUGACUGUUUAGAAAUUCCAGGUGCUGAAAG
Acanthosepion pharaonis is the source of this 112-nucleotide non-coding RNA. NCBI's taxonomy places the organism in Eukaryota, Metazoa, Mollusca, Cephalopoda, Sepiida, Sepiidae. The record is from the annotation of a GenBank genome assembly.